CACACACACACACACACACACACAGAGGUCCCUUCACAACUACCUCUAGGAUCAAACAACUCUUAAUGGAACAAAUGAUUCCAUUCCCACUUGGGAAGAAGGGUUCAGAGACCCAAUCCUUGUUAAAGGGAUGUGGAGGGAGGCAGGGCCAUCCUGGUCCUCUGUGAGGCCUGGGAUCUGGUGAGAGCUCAAGAGAUGGAGCUUGACUCUUAGCUCAGAUCCUAAUGUUGUUGCUCCAUAGCAGGGAAGAACUCCCCUCCUCCCACUCCUCACCAAACAGCCCUAGGGAAGCUUCUCUGGAUCCAAAAGAAGGAAAAGUCUUGAAGACUUCUAAUGACUGAGCAACUUUGGUCGCUCAGGGAUUGGCGCUGAGAUCUGAGUUCUGAUGGACUGAGGAGGGGACUGACUGGCUCCCAAAGCACCUGGGCAGUGCCCGUGGGCACCACUAAGUCCCCAACAGGGUCCAGGAGAGGGGCAGCAUGGUGACUAAAACAGGGGGCAGUAGGAACUCCACCCCCUGGAUGUGAGUGCCCUUGGCCAAAGCACUGUUCACCUAGGGACUAGGUAAUGGUCUGGCCCUGAGCAAGGCAGUGGGAGGAGCCCAUUGGGGGGGAGGGGGAAGGGGCGGGUUGCCUGCGGACUCCAGCUUCCUGGUUAGCCCUCCCCCCACCCCUACCUCCAGGGGUUGGAGGGCCCCGGUCACACAGCGUAGAUAUGAGGGUUUCCUGCUGCUGCCCUGGGCUCAAGCAUCCUCUAAGGACCAGUAAUUCAGUUUCAGGAGGAAGACGCACUAAGGAGAUCGAGGGUCCCUGAGGCCAGCCCUGAGGAGCCUCAGCUCAAGCAGUUUCGGGGCUGAUUUCUCCGGAAAGAGGAGGUCCUGGGAACAGUUGCCUCUUCUUCCUCUCCUACAUUCUUCCCUGGAUUUAGGUCGGGAGGCUGGGAAGGUCUGUGGAUGAGGCUGGUGCCCUACCCCCUGCUCCCCGGAAGCCUGGUCAGACUGGCUUCCCCGUGGGCCCGGGCUUGGUGCUGCCGCAGUGGACGGAGAAGACAGCUAUGUGGGCCACCCCCACUUACCCACACACAAACGCACACAGCCCACCAGAUGGAUGUCCACUCUAACCCGAGGCAAGGGAGAUGAGGAUGCAGGUGCCCAGCCUUGAGCCUCCCCCAGCCCCUGCCAGAGAAUGCCUCCCCUCCCCCUGGCAGCCCUCCCUUUCCAGCUAUUAAUAACUCCCUCAGCCUGAUCAUUUACUAAAUAUACCCCCAGGCAUGGGGUUAGGCCCCCAGGCAGCCGGCUUCUCACACAGGUGCGGGACAAGGUUGUUCUCCCUCCCCAACGCGGUCCUAGCCAGAGCUAUCUCCAGCUUGGCCUCCAAUAAGGGUCACGGAAGGGCACCAGACGCUCAUGUUUAAGAAUCUUUCACAACUUCUUGUUCCCUACCACCCAUUCAUUAAACAUUCAGAGAAUUACCAAAUUUUCGAGUGGGAAGGGAUCUCAGUGGCCAUCUGAUGGGACCCAGACCUGAGCAAAAAAUCCAAUCAUCAGAACCCUCUGGGCAGCAUGGCAGAGACAAGACUAGAAAGCCAAGCUUGAAGACAAAGACCUCAUUUAACUUCUCAAUGCUCUAGGCUGGGCUCUGUGCUGACUUGCAUUAAUAUCUUCACCUGUUCCUUCAAUCUAUGGAAUCACAAGUUCCGGUACCCAUUUCCAAUGUCAGGCAUAGAGUGGGCAAUUAAUAAAUGCUUUUUGAUUAAUAGU
Non-coding RNA from Phascolarctos cinereus (koala), 1759 nucleotides. The record is from RefSeq and is a predicted model, not a curated record. Lineage: Eukaryota; Metazoa; Chordata; Mammalia; Diprotodontia; Phascolarctidae.